CCCUUAGAUGUUCUGGGCAGCACACGCGCUACACUGAAGGAGGCAGCGUGUACUCCUGGAUCGAAAGAUUUGGGUAACCCGCGAAUCUCCUUCGUGCUAGGGAUUGAGGUUUGCAAUUAUCCUUCAUGAACGAGGAAUUCCCAGUAAGUGCAAGUCAUAAGCUUGCGCUGACUACGUCCCUGCCCUUUGUACACACCGCCCGUCGCUACUACCGAUUGAAUGAUUUAGUGAGGACUUCGGACUGGGACCGAUGCGGCUUUCGGGCUGCGUCGGUAUUCUGGAAAGAUGUCCAAACUGUAUCAUUUAGAGGAAGUAAAAGUCGUAACA
RNAcentral lists this ribosomal RNA (327 nucleotides) under uncultured eukaryote. RNAcentral's name for it is "partial 18S ribosomal RNA". It matches the Rfam family "Eukaryotic small subunit ribosomal RNA", at positions 1470 to 1796 of the family's 1831-position model. The record is from RNAcentral.